AUGAACGCUAGCGGCAGGCUUAAUACAUGCAAGUCGAACGGUAACAGGUCUUCGGACGCUGACGAGUGGCGCACGGGUGAGGAACACGUACACAAUCUACCUUAUACUGGAGAAUAGCCCCGGGAAACUGGGAUUAAUACUCCAUAGUCUUUAAUGAUCACAUGAGAAAUAAAGUAAAGCUUCGGCGGUAUAAGAUGAGUGUGCGUCCCAUUAGAUUGUUGGUGAGGUAACGGCUCACCAAGUCGACGAUGGGUAGCUGGCGUGAGAGCGCGACCAGCCACACUGGCACUGAGACACGGGCUAGACUCCUACGGGAGGCAGCAGUAGGGAAUAUUGGUCAAUGGACGAAAGUCUGAACCAGCCAUGCCGCGUGGAGGAUGACUGCCCUCUGGGUUGUAAACUCCUUUUAUAUGGGAAGAAACCUCUGGAUUCACUCCAGAGCUGACGGUAUCAUAUGAAUAAACACCGGCUAACUCCGUG
Molecule: ribosomal RNA, 480 nt
Filed under: uncultured bacterium
Lineage: Bacteria
Description: bacterial SSU rRNA
Rfam family: Bacterial small subunit ribosomal RNA
Source: RNAcentral